CGGGUGAGUAACACGUGGAUAACCUACCUAUAAGACUGGGAUAACUUCGGGAAACCGGAGCUAAUACCGAAUAAUAUUUUGAACCGCAUGGUUCAAAAGUGAAAGACGGUCUUGCUGUCACUUAUAGAUGGAUCCGCGCUGCAUUAGCUAGUUGGUAAGGUAACGGCUUACCAAGGCAACGAUGCAUAGCCGACCUGAGAGGGUGAUCGGCCACACUGGAACUGAGACACGGUACAG
Molecule: ribosomal RNA, 237 nt
Filed under: uncultured Staphylococcus sp.
Lineage: Bacteria; Bacillati; Bacillota; Bacilli; Caryophanales; Staphylococcaceae
Description: partial 16S ribosomal RNA
Rfam family: Bacterial small subunit ribosomal RNA
Source: RNAcentral